AUACGUAGGGUGCAAGCGUUAAUCGGAAUUACUGGGCGUAAAGCGUGCGCAGGCGGUUUUGUAAGACCGAGGUGAAAUCCCCGGGCUCAACCUGGGAACUGCCUUUGUGACUGCAAGGCUAGAGUACGGCAGAGGGGGAUGGAAUUCCGCGUGUAGCAGUGAAAAGCGUAGAUAUGCGGAGGAACACCGAUGGCGAAGGCGAUGCCCUGGGCCUGUACUGACGCUCAUGCACGAAAGCGUGGGGAGCAAACAGGAUUAGAUACCCUGGUAGUCCACGCCCUAAACGAUGUCAACUGGUUGUUGGGUCUUCAUUGACUCAGUAACGAAGCUAACGCGUGAAGUUGACCGCCUGGGGAGUACGGCCGCAAGGUUGAAACUCAAAUGAAUUGACGGGG
RNAcentral lists this ribosomal RNA (395 nucleotides) under uncultured bacterium. Its description in RNAcentral is "partial 16S ribosomal RNA". It matches the Rfam family "Bacterial small subunit ribosomal RNA", at positions 523 to 918 of the family's 1533-position model. The record is from RNAcentral.